This 452-nucleotide ribosomal RNA is filed under the name uncultured bacterium. Its description in RNAcentral is "bacterial SSU rRNA". It matches the Rfam family "Bacterial small subunit ribosomal RNA", at positions 917 to 1382 of the family's 1533-position model. The record is from RNAcentral.
GGGCCCGCACAAGCAGCGGAGCGUGUGGUUUAAUUCGAUGAUACACGAAGAACCUUACCCAGGCUUGACAUGUUGGUAGUAGGGAUCCGAAAGGUGACCGACCCUUCGGGGAGCCUUCACAGGUGCUGCAUGGCUGUCGUCAGCUCGUGUCGUGAGAUGUCCGGUUAAGUCCGGUAACGAGCGCAACCCUCGCUGUGUGUUAUAUGUGUCACACGGGACUGCCGGUAUCAAGCCGGAGGAAGGUGGGGAUGACGUCAAGUCAGCAUGGCCUUUAUGUCUGGGGCUACACACACGCUACAAUGGCCAGUACAAUAGGUUGCAAGACCGCGAGGUGGAGCCAAUCCUUAAAGCUGGUCUCAGUUCGGAUUGCAGGCUGCAACUCGCCUGCAUGAAGUCGGAGUUGCUAGUAACCGCGCGUCAGCCAUAGUGCGGUGAAUACGUUCCCGGGCCUU